This 1142-nucleotide long non-coding RNA is filed under the name Chloebia gouldiae (Gouldian finch). Its description in RNAcentral is "Erythrura gouldiae (Gouldian finch) lncRNA (ENSEGOG00005005212.1)". The record is from RNAcentral. Lineage: Eukaryota; Metazoa; Chordata; Aves; Passeriformes; Passeridae.
CUGAAGACAGGCGGAACAGACACCGCACCACAACAAAUGGUAGCAGAGGAUGGUUUCGUUCUUCGUCUUGUGAUUCGUGGGGGUGCCUGCCUCACAGAAGAGGAAGGAGGGAAGAGAAACACCCGCAGCUGUGAAAGCUCUGCACUACGCUAAGAGGAACCCAGCGCUGAGAAGAAAAAAAAACAAACCCUGAGGUUCCAGGACCCUCUUUUGUCCCUGCCACUGUGCUCUCUACCCCGGCCAGGGGCAGCCCUGCUGCAGGGGCAGCCGUACUACAGGGGCCUUAAGGGGGGCAGACUUACCCCAGGACAAAGAGGGUGGUGUGGCAGCGGCUCGAGGUUGAGCCCGAGCCUGAAGAACUGGCGCAUUGGAGCUCGCUGCUGACAGCAUUUGCUUGAGACCACCAGAGACUAAUAGUGGCCAAAUUCAAUGUUUCAGGGAUGAGCCUUAGUUAAUGGGAACACCUAGGUCUCUGGAAGAGCCAAACCGUGAAAAACAACAUCCCCAUUUCAGCACGAUUUUCCCAGGACCCGAGGAGAACGAUCGAGCCACCACUGCCCGCUCCCGGAGGCUCUGCAAGGAUCUAAACACCACAAGCGCUGCGUCAGAUCAAGUCAUGAAUCUUGCUUCUACCUCUGAUCUAGAAGAAUUUGUUUAUGACUAUUUUAUAUGUUUUAAGUUUUAAAGUGAAGAAAAUCUUUACCCCAUGUGUUGUAAUUAGGAUUAGUUUAUCCUUAUCUGCUGUCUUUCAGUUUAUGACCUUUUAGUAAUUUGUAAUGUUACUAUAUGAAUUUUAUGCUUUGUUAAUUUGUUUAAACCUCAGAACUCUCCUUCUUUUUGAAAAAAAGGAGUGAGAUGCAGAGGUGUGGUUUUUCUCUUUAUUAAUGUUUGUUUAGUGUUUUUUUGCUAUCCCCCUCCCUGGUCCCCUCCCCCACUCAGCUGCCGUUCUUCCCGGGUCUUUCCCUGCCCCUCCCCCUCUGGAUUGUCCUCUGCCCUUUUCCUGCCCCCCUCCCUGCCCACAUUCCCUAGGUAUGUGCUCUCCUGGUAUCACACCCCCCUCUCAGGUUCGGGUAUAAAAGCUGUGUCCCCCCGUCCCAGGGAGUCUUGGGGCUCAUUGAAUAAAACCAUCCUGUUCACCCCCA